Molecule: ribosomal RNA, 233 nt
Filed under: uncultured Pseudomonas sp.
Lineage: Bacteria; Pseudomonadati; Pseudomonadota; Gammaproteobacteria; Pseudomonadales; Pseudomonadaceae
Description: partial 16S ribosomal RNA
Rfam family: Bacterial small subunit ribosomal RNA
Source: RNAcentral
GGUGACAAACCGGGAGGAAGGUGGGGGAUGACGUCAAGUCAUCAUGGCCCUUACGGCCUGGGCUACACACGUGCUACAAUGGUCGGUACAAAAGGGUUGCCAAGCCGCGAGGUGGAGCUAAUCCCAAUAAAACCGAUCGUAGUCCGGAUCGCAGUCUGCAACUCGACUGCGUGAAGUCGGAAUCGCUAGUAAUCGUGAAUCAGAAUGUCACGGUGAAUACGUUCCCGGGCCUU